AACCGCGGUUAUACGAGAGGCCCAAAUUGAUAUAUCACGGCGUAAAGUGUGAUUAGAGACAAACCAAAACUAGAACUAAAUACCCCCUAUGCUGUCAUACGCCAUGGAGGUCACGAAGCCCAACAACGAAAGUGGUUCUACAAACCUUGAACUCACGACAGCUAAGGUA
This 169-nucleotide ribosomal RNA is filed under the name Gymnothorax isingteena. RNAcentral's name for it is "partial 12S rRNA". Lineage: Eukaryota; Metazoa; Chordata; Actinopteri; Anguilliformes; Muraenidae. The record is from RNAcentral.